RNAcentral lists this transfer RNA (75 nucleotides) under Alphaproteobacteria bacterium. Its description in RNAcentral is "tRNA-Val". It matches the Rfam family "tRNA". Rfam says of the family: Transfer RNA (tRNA) molecules are approximately 80 nucleotides in length. Their secondary structure includes four short double-helical elements and three loops (D, anti-codon, and T loops). Lineage: Bacteria; Pseudomonadati; Pseudomonadota; Alphaproteobacteria. The record is from RNAcentral.
GGGCGCGUAGCUCAGCGGUAGAGCACCUGCUCGACACGCAGGGGGUCCCAAGUUCGAUCCUUGGCGCGCCCACCA